RNAcentral lists this ribosomal RNA (1398 nucleotides) under Streptomyces variabilis. Its description in RNAcentral is "bacterial SSU rRNA". It matches the Rfam family "Bacterial small subunit ribosomal RNA". Lineage: Bacteria; Bacillati; Actinomycetota; Actinomycetes; Kitasatosporales; Streptomycetaceae. The record is from RNAcentral.
UCAAAGGCGGGAGCUUCCACAUGCAGUCGUACCAUGGUAAUCAGUUCGGGAGGGGAUUAGUGGCGAACGGGUGAGUAACACGUGGGCAAUCUGCCCUGCACUCUGGGACAAGCCCUGGAAACGGGGUCUAAUACCGGAUACUGACCCGCUUGGGCAUCCAAGCGGUUCGAAAGCUCCGGCGGUGCAGGAUGAGCCCGCGGCCUAUCAGCUUGUUGGUGAGGUAAUGGCUCACCAAGGCGACGACGGGUAGCCGGCCUGAGAGGGCGACCGGCCACACUGGGACUGAGACACGGCCCAGACUCCUACGGGAGGCAGCAGUGGGGAAUAUUGCACAAUGGGCGAAAGCCUGAUGCAGCGACGCCGCGUGAGGGAUGACGGCCUUCGGGUUGUAAACCUCUUUCAGCAGGGAAGAAGCGAAAGUGACGGUACCUGCAGAAGAAGCGCCGGCUAACUACGUGCCAGCAGCCGCGGUAAUACGUAGGGCGCGAGCGUUGUCCGGAAUUAUUGGGCGUAAAGAGCUCGUAGGCGGCUUGUCACGUCGGUUGUGAAAGCCCGGGGCUUAACCCCGGGUCUGCAGUCGAUACGGGCAGGCUAGAGUUCGGUAGGGGAGAUCGGAAUUCCUGGUGUAGCGGUGAAAUGCGCAGAUAUCAGGAGGAACACCGGUGGCGAAGGCGGAUCUCUGGGCCGAUACUGACGCUGAGGAGCGAAAGCGUGGGGAGCGAACAGGAUUAGAUACCCUGGUAGUCCACGCCGUAAACGGUGGGCACUAGGUGUGGGCGACAUUCCACGUCGUCCGUGCCGCAGCUAACGCAUUAAGUGCCCCGCCUGGGGAGUACGGCCGCAAGGCUAAAACUCACAGGAAUUGACGGGGGCCCGCACAAGCGGCGGAGCAUGUGGCUUAAUUCGACGCAACGCGAAGAACCUUACCAAGGCUUGACAUACACCGGAAAGAUCAGAGAUGAUGCCCCCCUUGUGGUCGGUGUACAGGUGGUGCAUGGCUGUCGUCAGCUCGUGUCGUGAGAUGUUGGGUUAAGUCCCGCAACGAGCGCAACCUUUGUCCCGUGUUGCCAGCAGGCCCUUGUGGUGCUGGGGACUCACGGGAGACCCGCCGGGUCAACUCCGAAGAAAGGGGGGGACGACGUCAAAUCAUCAUGGCCCCUUAUGUCUUGGGGUGCCAACCGGGUACAAUGGGCCGUGAAAUAAAUUGGGAUCCCCGGAGGUGGAGCGAAACCUCAAAAAACCGGGUCUUUUUUGAAUUGGGGUUUGGCAUCCCACCCCUGAAUAUGGAAGCUCUGGUAAUCCCAAAAAACAAUUGGUGGGGGGAUAAAUUUCCUGGGCGUGGUAAAAAAGACCUGCCGUUCGAAAAAUCGGUAAACCCGAACCUGGGGCACGCCCUCG